Molecule: ribosomal RNA, 442 nt
Filed under: uncultured bacterium
Lineage: Bacteria
Description: partial 16S ribosomal RNA
Rfam family: Bacterial small subunit ribosomal RNA
Source: RNAcentral
CCUACGGGUGACAGCAGUGGGGAAUAUUGGGCAAUGGGCGCAAGCCUGACCCAGCAACGCCGCGUGAAGGAAGAAGGCUUUCGGUUUGUAAACCUCUUUUGGCAGGGAAGAGAAGAAGGAGGUACCUUUCCAAUAAACCACGGCUAACUACGUGCCAGCAGCCGCGGUAAUACGUAGGGGGCAAGCGUUGUUCGGAAUUACUGGGUGUAAAGGGCGGGUAGCCGGGCUGACAAGUCAGAUGUGAAAUGCGGGGGCUCAACCCCCGAACUGCAUUGGAAACUGUUGGUCUGGAGUGGCGGAGAGGCAGGCGGAAUUCCUAGUGUAGCGGUGAAAUGCGUAGAUAUUAGGAGGAACACCAGUGGCGAAGGCGGCCUGCUGGACGACAACUGACGGUGAGGCGCGAAAGCGUGGGGAGCAAACAGGAUUAGAUACCCCUGUAGUC